RNAcentral lists this ribosomal RNA (515 nucleotides) under uncultured bacterium. Its description in RNAcentral is "partial 16S ribosomal RNA". It matches the Rfam family "Bacterial small subunit ribosomal RNA", at positions 28 to 523 of the family's 1533-position model. The record is from RNAcentral.
GAUGAACGCCGGCGGCGUGCCUAAUACAUGCAAGUCGAGCGAAUGGAUUAAGAGCUUGCUCUUAUGAAGUUAGCGGCGGACGGGUGAGUAACACGUGGGUAACCUGCCCAUAAGACUGGGAUAACUCCGGGAAACCGGGGCUAAUACCGGAUAACAUUUUGAACCGCAUGGUUCGAAAUUGAAAGGCGGCUUCGGCUGUCACUUAUGGAUGGACCCGCGUCGCAUUAGCUAGUUGGUGAGGUAACGGCUCACCAAGGCAACGAUGCGUAGCCGACCUGAGAGGGGGAUCGGCCAAACUGGGACUGAGACACGACCCAGACUCCUACGGGAGGCAGCAGUAGGGAAUCUUCCGCAAUGGACGAAAGUCUGACGGAGCAACGCCGCGUGAGUGAUGAAGGCUUUCGGGUCGUAAAACUCUGUUGUUAGGGAAGAACAAGUGCUAGUUGAAUAAGCUGGCACCUUGACGGUACCUAACCAGAAAGCCACGGCUAACUACGUGCCAGCAGCCGCCGUAA